RNAcentral lists this ribosomal RNA (1372 nucleotides) under uncultured bacterium. RNAcentral describes it as "bacterial SSU rRNA". It matches the Rfam family "Bacterial small subunit ribosomal RNA", at positions 28 to 1381 of the family's 1533-position model. The record is from RNAcentral.
GAUGAACGCUGGCGGCGUGCCUAAUACAUGCAAGUCGAGCGAACGGACGAGAAGCUUGCUUCUCUGAUGUUAGCGGCGGACGGGUGAGUAACACGUGGAUAACCUACCUAUAAGACUGGGAUAACUUCGGGAAACCGGAGCUAAUACCGGAUAAUAUUUUGAACCGCAUGGUUCAAAAGUGAAAGACGGUCUUGCUGUCACUUAUAGAUGGAUCCGCGCUGCAUUAGCUAGUUGGUAAGGUAACGGCUUACCAAGGCAACGAUGCAUAGCCGACCUGAGAGGGUGAUCGGCCACACUGGAACUGAGACACGGUCCAGACUCCUACGGGAGGCAGCAGUAGGGAAUCUUCCGCAAUGGGCGAAAGCCUGACGGAGCAACGCCGCGUGAGUGAUGAAGGUCUUCGGAUCGUAAAACUCUGUUAUUAGGGAAGAACAUAUGUGUAAGUAACUGUGCACAUCUUGACGGUACCUAAUCAGAAAGCCACGGCUAACUACGUGCCAGCAGCCGCGGUAAUACGUAGGUGGCAAGCGUUAUCCGGAAUUAUUGGGCGUAAAGCGCGCGUAGGCGGUUUUUUAAGUCUGAUGUGAAAGCCCACGGCUCAACCGUGGAGGGUCAUUGGAAACUGGAAAACUUGAGUGCAGAAGAGGAAAGUGGAAUUCCAUGUGUAGCGGUGAAAUGCGCAGAGAUAUGGAGGAACACCAGUGGCGAAGGCGACUUUCUGGUCUGUAACUGACGCUGAUGUGCGAAAGCGUGGGGAUCAAACAGGAUUAGAUACCCUGGUAGUCCACGCCGUAAACGAUGAGUGCUAAGUGUUAGGGGGUUUCCGCCCCUUAGUGCUGCAACUAACGCAUUAAGCACUCCGCCUGGGGAGUACGACCGCAAGGUUGAAACUCAAAGGAAUUGACGGGGACCCGCACAAGCGGUGGAGCAUGUGGUUUAAUUCGAAGCAACGCGAAGAACCUUACCAAAUCUUGACAUCCUUUGACAACUCUAGAGAUAGAGCCUUCCCCUUCGGGGGACAAAGUGACAGGUGGUGCAUGGUUGUCGUCAGCUCGUGUCGUGAGAUGUUGGGUUAAGUCCCGCAACGAGCGCAACCCUUAAGCUUAGUUGCCAUCAUUAAGUUGGGCACUCUAAGUUGACUGCCGGUGACAAACCGGAGGAAGGUGGGGAUGACGUCAAAUCAUCAUGCCCCUUAUGAUUUGGGCUACACACGUGCUACAAUGGACAAUACAAAGGGCAGCGAAACCGCGAGGUCAAGCAAAUCCCAUAAAGUUGUUCUCAGUUCGGAUUGUAGUCUGCAACUCGACUACAUGAAGCUGGAAUCGCUAGUAAUCGUAGAUCAGCAUGCUACGGUGAAUACGUUCCCGGGUCU